AUUAUCGACUAUAUAAAAAGAAUGACCAAUCAUUUAAUAAAUACUACAUCACUAAGCCCAAAA
RNAcentral lists this transfer RNA (63 nucleotides) under Limnodrilus hoffmeisteri. Its description in RNAcentral is "tRNA-His". Lineage: Eukaryota; Metazoa; Annelida; Clitellata; Tubificida; Naididae. The record is from RNAcentral.